This 267-nucleotide long non-coding RNA is filed under the name Bos taurus (domestic cattle). RNAcentral describes it as "long non-coding RNA NONBTAT019713". Lineage: Eukaryota; Metazoa; Chordata; Mammalia; Artiodactyla; Bovidae. The record is from RNAcentral.
AGAGAUAAUCCUUGUGAGUUUUAUGAUUACCGAAACUGCUGAGUCAUAGAAAUUAAUUUUGAGGAAGAAAAGUGACAGCAUACUGCAUAGGUGACUUAUUCAAAUUUUUUUCCUGAGGCAAUUAUGCUUUUCUCUGUAUUAUCAUAUAUUAUAAUAAAGAGCCUGUUUUACAGACCUAUAAGAAAUGCUAUCCCAAAUAUAAAGAUGCAAUGUAUAAAAUAUCUUAUUCAUUAAUAUUUACAAAAUAAACAAAAAUUUCAAUUUGUC